CCAAUAGCGUAUAUUAAAGUUGUUGCAGUUAAAAAGCUCGUAGUUGAAUUUUAGGCCUGGCCGGGCGGUCCGUCUUUGGCGAGUACUGUCUGUUGUCGGGUCUUCCUUCUGGUGAACCAAUAUGUCCUUUAUUGGGUGUGCUGGGGAGCCAGGACCAUUACCUUGAAAAAAUUAGAGUGUUUAAAGCAGGCUUUUGCUUGAAUAGAUUAGCAUGGAAUAAUAGAAUAGGACGUUGUGGUUCUAUUUUGUUGGUUUCUAGGACCACCGUAAUGAUUAAUAGGGAUAGUUGGGGGCAUUAGUAUUCAAUUGUCAGAGGUGAAAUUCUUGGAUUUAUUGAAGACUAACUAUUGCGAAAGCAUUUGCCAAGGAUGUUUUCAUUAAUCAAGAACGAAAGUUAGGGGAUCGAAGACGAUCAGAUACCGUCGUAGUCUUAACCAUAAACUAUGCCGACUAGGAAUCGGGCGACGUUAUUUUAAUGACUCGCUCGGCGCCUUAUG
This 497-nucleotide non-coding RNA is filed under the name uncultured Archaeospora. Its description in RNAcentral is "SSU rRNA". It matches the Rfam family "Eukaryotic small subunit ribosomal RNA", at positions 591 to 1092 of the family's 1831-position model. The record is from RNAcentral. RNAcentral also lists the same sequence under 1 other name. Lineage: Eukaryota; Fungi; Glomeromycota; Glomeromycetes; Archaeosporales; Archaeosporaceae.